GUAAUUUUUUUCGCUGCAACGUUGAUUCAGACCAAACAUUUCAUCUCAAACCUCAAAACCAAUUUCGAAAUACAUAUCCCGCGCUCAGUACUCCCUUCUUCUUCCCUCAACUUUCCCUGCGUCUCGCCCGUCGCCGGUGAUUCUCGCCAGUUGUCAUCGCCGCUAGGUCUUGCCCGUUGUCGGUGGUACUCCAGCAAGGGUCUAUUUCCUCGCCUCCUCACCAGUGGUUCUCUGCUCGAUAAACCACCGCAGAAGUUAUUCCCUGCUCGAAAAACCACCGGUGAAGUCAUUUCCUGCUCAAAAAACUAAGCUACUUUGCUCGGCCGGUUCGUGAACCCUGUUCUCCGUCAAUCCUUGCCGCAACAAUUAAAUCUCCAAAAUUUUCGCUUUUUUGGAAGUUCGGUGAUUCCAAGUCCUGUGGUAAAGGUGUUGAUGUAUUGAGAUCAAGGAGACUACUUUGCCACUUGUUGCCUUGGAAAAGAGCUACUUAUUGGAGUCGAAAACCAUUUUCUUCAAGAAAGAGGGGUGCUGUGUAUGUAAGGUCGGGUCGUGGUUUUUCUUUAAGAAGAUCAAAGGUCGUAAGUCUCUCUUGAACCAGUUUAAAAUGGUCCGAGUCCAUGGAAAAGCGUUCAAAGAAGUUUGAAGAUGUUAGUUAUGUAUUUAUUUCAAUGUAAUUUCUACAAAUGAGAUUGUUUUCUUGUGGCUCUUCACUAAUAAAUGGGUGCACCAUACAGCUUGUAAAUAGGUAACUUCAUCCUCACCUGUAGCAUAUUUGGUGGAAAGACAAAGAAAUAACAAGGCUGGUGGGAUAUUAAGAGGCCAAUAUUUGAAGAACCAGAGAGAGAUUUGUAUUUAUGCCUUAUCAGUUGGUCGAAGAAGAAUCCUGUUUGGUGCCAAUGUGGAUGAUUCUUAUUAUGACGGUCUGCUCUGGACACUACGGAGCUUACAUCAACUCUCGAUGCUGCUUGUGCCCCUAGUGAUCUGGAUUGAUCUGCAGCAAUACCUGAACUCAAUGUUGUUUAUGGUAGAGUGAGCAGGCGCAAGGUCCCAAUCUGAAAGUUGUGGCAGUUAAGCUGGCUACUGAUCUGCAUGUACUAUCUGCACAUCAGUUACUUGCAUUUUCCAUAAUGAGAUGCAACUAGGAUAGCCAACAAUUUGGGCUGCUGUCUGAAGGGUUUUCCUCCUCACAGGAACAUCGAAUACUGCGUGUAUCUACAGGGGAGCUUGGUGCUGCUCGGGCAAACCAAGACAAUGCAGACACAAAAGACUUAAAAGAGCAGGUUUCCAACCUCAAAGCAGCUUUAGCCAAGAAGGAAGAAGAAAUGGAGAACCUUUCUCGUCCAUUAACCAGCACUCCAGAAACAAUCUGGUCUACACUCCGAGGAAUGCGCCUUAUGCUAGUGAGGAAAUUGAUGUGGUUCGUGAGCAAUGGGCGAAGUUUUUUACCACCAAGUAUUUAUUAUUGACCUGAGGGCGCUUGAUCGAGUUGGUUUAGAUGUUAUAGAACAAUCUUUUAUGUUAAAAUGUAUGCGUACGUUGAAAUUGGAACGUAAAUAUAUUUAAAUGUAUCGGUAUGUGCACUUUUGGUUUUGGGAAAUAUACAAAACUCCAGUUGUUGUUUUUA
Molecule: long non-coding RNA, 1624 nt
Organism: Spinacia oleracea (spinach)
Lineage: Eukaryota; Viridiplantae; Streptophyta; Magnoliopsida; Caryophyllales; Amaranthaceae
Exons: 9
Source: RefSeq, a predicted model, not a curated record